CUACCCUUGACAUGUACGGAAGCCCGAUGAGAGUUGGGUGUGCCCGAAAGGGAGCCGUAACACAGGUGCUGCAUGGCUGUCGUCAGCUCGUGUCGUGAGAUGUUGGGUUAAGUCCCGCAACGAGCGCAACCCUUGUCAUUAGCUGCUACAUUCAGUUGGGCACUCUAAUGAGACUGCCGGUGACAAACCGGAGGAAGGUGGGGAUGACGUCAAGUCCUCAUGGCCCUUAUGGGUAGGGCUUCACACGUAAUACAAUGGCCGGUACAGAGGGCAGCCAACCCGCGAGGGGGAGCUAAUCCCAGAAAGCCGGUCGUAGUCCGGAUUGUUCUCUGCAACUCGAGAGCAUGAAGUCGGAAUCGCUAGUAAUCGCGGAUCAGCAUGCCGCGGUGAAUACGUUCCC
This 400-nucleotide ribosomal RNA is filed under the name uncultured bacterium. RNAcentral's name for it is "bacterial SSU rRNA". It matches the Rfam family "Bacterial small subunit ribosomal RNA", at positions 975 to 1375 of the family's 1533-position model. The record is from RNAcentral.